GUCUGUGCUUAUUGUGCUUUGUUUUUGUUCAUUUUCUGACUGUUUUAGGUCCUUUUGUGGUAAUUUUGCAGCUUUCUGUAUUCAAUAAACCAGCAGAGAACCAGAUAAAGUCUCACUCAUUCAUCACAGAGGGUCACUGCAAUAUGUUGACCUGUUUAUACAACUUGAUAAAUGUUGGUCGGUGUUUCUGUUCCCAGCAUUUUAUUCUGUCUAAUUUCACUUCCAUGGAGACGGCUUUCCUUUUCUUCCAGCAUCAGAAGAGUCUGACGUAUGCUGGGAGCCAUAAUGAAGGACAAAAAGUUAGUGAAUGUAGACAAUCCAAGGUGGAGUACAACCAGAGAAUGGAAACAAAGCCGUCUGAUAGCGCCGCAUGACGACGUAUUCAUCCGCUCUGUUCGUCAACUAGUUCCAUGUAACCAGUUCUGAUGUAACGAUGAAACGCUGUAGGUCGAUGACGUCGUAAACUGAGGACCUCCUGUACUAUGAUGAAUCCAUUAAAUCAGAGCUGUUUUGUGUGUAGAUCCAUUCAGCAUGGUGAAAUCAGAAAACGACACCGUUAAUAUUGUUCAGUGGAAACGUGUUCAAACUACUGGAGAACUGUGCAGACAGAUGGAAAAUGUGUCAGAAGUGACAAAUAAAAUGUUGAAAUGACUUGAAACUUGUUCAGAAUGACUCAGAAUCCAAAAAUGUAUAUAAAUGGGAAAAACGCAGCUUGGCUCAGAACCAGUGAACAGAGCAGCACGAUGUUGGAGUUCCAUUCAGCAUGGAGAAACAUCUGCUAAACGAGAACAAAUCAAUCCACUCUCCCCCAGCAGCAUUAAGCCUUAAAGGAACAUAAAUCAUUCAUCAAUAAUAUCCUCAUUUAAUACCUGAUCCAGGAUGGUGAAGAUAUAAGUCUGUGAUGUAAAUAAGCUGUCAUCAUGUCAGAGAUCUUUUUAUUCUCCUGCUGCCCACCAGGACCGUCCAUAUGGUCUCUAAUUUUAGACUCAGGGCUGAGGGAUCAUCUAAACUCGAAACUUUUACCCCCAAACACACCGACAGAAUGGAAAGAUCCAGAAGAAAUGAGCUGACACCACGGCAACUUUCUCAUGUUCCAACACUGUCCACUUCUUCUAAAGCCGUUUUAUCUCAGGUUUUAUCCCCGGUUCCCAUGUCUAAAUUGGAAUCCCAGUUCAGAGGGUCUCUACUUACAUCAGAGUUCUGCUUCUACUGAGCCACGGAACACGAUUUUGAAGUCGAAACUCACCAGUGAUGGGAAUAGUGGCAUUAAAAUAAAUACCGUUACUAAUGACGUUAUUCUUUUCAGUAACAGGUAAUCUAACUAAUUACUGUUUCCUUCUUCAUUCACCAAGGUGGGGACGAUACUAAGAGACGUUCUAAAAUCUAGUCAACAGCUGUCACAACCCUCCUGUCUCAGUGCACUGACUAAUCAGUGGAAUGACGAGCGGCUGUGUUUCUCCACACAGCCGGCGCAGAUUGACAAUCAGUGUGGCAUUUAAGCCUGACUCUUUGUACUGCCCAGCGCUGCAACAUUGAACGAUCUUCCUGCUGCACAACUCUCCCUGCUACUCGCCGUUCACCAUUGUCUGUGCAUCACUCUCUGGACUCUGUUUGACCCCCUGGAUUACCUUCACCACGUCCCGUUCCUCGGACCCGGUCGCCCCCCUGGAUAAUCUUGCCAGUUUCCCAGCUAUCGCCACAUUCCCCGCCGGCACUGUCUGCCCUGCCCUUUCCGCCCUCCAUAACCCGGACUACCAGUAAGCCACCUUCCCCUCACAUUAGUUAGUUUUUAUGUUUGGUUUAAUCUCGGCCUUCGGGUCCGUCCUUUGUUUUGUUCUGUUCUGUUUUAUUUAAUAGUUUUACCUUGACCAUCUGGUCCUCCCUUAGUUGGUUUAAUUCAGUUUAGCUUCCCUCCUGCUUUGUUUAAGGUGAGUCUUUGUUUUGUCUGUUUUCUUGAAUUACAUCAUUAUUUUACCCUUCCAUCCGUGCCUGCUGCUUGGGUUCUUCUCUGUUUCGUGACAACAGGAGGUUCUGAAGAUGGUUCAUGAUGUGGACAUGAAGCAAAGAUCGAUAGAUAGACUUUAUUGUCCCUUCCAGGAAAUUUGUCUUAGACAGCAGUGCUACUGGCUACAGGCAUGGUUUACAUACAAAAACACUGGACGACAUAAUAACAGUUACAUUCAUGAGCAGAGGUCGGCGACAAACGUGGUCAGUUGUUAUUGCACAGGAUUAAGUGCGGUACUCAGUUACAAUAAUUGGUGAACAUAAAUAAGAACAGUUAAAAUUAUUAGGAACCGUUAAAAUGAUCGAAUAAUAUGAGCAUUAUAAAAGGAAUAAUAACAGAUAAGAGACUGGUGGCAAUAAAUAAGCAUAAAAGAUUAAUAUUUAAUAAAUACCAAUUGCAGGAGAUGAAAUUUACUUAGACUGUUUGUUAAGAAGAGAUAUGGAUGUUGGGAGAAAAGAGAGCUUAUAGCGGUUAGUUUUGUGUUUGCUUGCUCUGUAUCGUCUCCCAGAAGGCAGAAGUUCAUAUUCUAGAAAAAGAAUAUGAGACGGAUCUUUCAGAAUCUUAUGUACCUGUUUAAGGACAACACUAUCAAAGACGGAUUGGAGAGAAGGGUGGUCUUUUUGACCUAUCACCUUCAUAGCAGCUUUCAUCAGUUUAUGGUUUUUUGAUUUACUCUGGGUGGAUAGUGUGCCAAACCAGGCUGCAAGUCCAUGCCUCAGGAGACUUUCAAAGAUGGCAUUAUAGAAGAUCAGCAUGAUUUCACGCCUGACACCAAACAGUCUGAGCCUGCAGAGAAAAUGCAGUCUUUGAGAUAAUCUGCUGCAGAGGAAGUCAACAUGAUCUGACCAUUUUAAGAAAUUGUCCAUGACAUUACCUAGAUAUUUGUAGGAAGCAACGUGGUGAAUAACACCGUUGUCUCUCAGUACCGAGUCAUGUUUCCGUACCCCUCUCGGGUCAAAAACCAUCUCUUUGGUUUUUGUUGCAUUAAAAAUGAGAUUAUUUCUCACACACCAGUCCUUAAACAAGUUAUCUCAUUAAAAUACACAGAGGGACAGUCACCAGCAUACAGAAGACUCAAGAUGAUCGUAUGAUCUGAAAAUUUGAUAAUGAAGUUAUUUGGUUGGCUGCUUCUGCAUUUGUUUGUAUACAACGCGAAUAGAAAGGGGGAAAUCACAGCUCCUUCUGGGACCCUUGUAGUACAAUGUUUGACAACUGAUAACCAUUUACUUGUUGUGUUCUGUCAGUUAAAAGAGCAUGGAACCAUUUUACGAUCCAGGGGUUUACCUCGAAGUUGAUUAGAUUAGUGAGAGAGUGGAGACUUGCAUCAACCUCACAAGAUUCACACAACCCAAUAUCAGUCAGUUCAAGCUUGUUGAUGCCAACAAGAAAUGCCUCCCAGAUUGGACUUCCUGUAUCAGGAACUGCUAAUGGCUAACAGCUAAUGGCUAACACACCAACCUGAAUCAGAGUGAGGCUUCUCUGAUGGAAGUUUGUGACCAAAAUCUGAUCAAGACUUGGAGAUGAGGCUUUGAAAGACCUGGGGCCUGUUUCACGAAGCAGGUUUAACAAACUCUGAGUUUCAUCCUCAACUCUGAGUUGAUCCACUCUGAGAUAGAAAACUCUGAGUUUUCGGUUUCACAACGGCUGAUUUGAGUUGGUUUGAACACGUUUUUAGAAAGAAGUGCAACACCGCUGCAGCUGUAAAAGAGAGAGAGACGGCGUGGAGAACAGCCCGGAUCAAUGCAGCAUGGCUGGACAGCAGCAGGAUGGUUCCUCAGCUUCCACUGCACAGACUGACACAGUGAGAUGGAUGUUCAGGAAACACCAGAGCUUCAUUCUGUGGAAUCCAUGUGCAACUGUAUAAUUGAAUGUCCUCUAUGUAUUCCCAGUUAUCAGUAAAACAGAUUUACAAACUGCAUUUGCUGAGAAGAAUCCAAAAACAGAUUAGGAGGGCAGAUCUGUAAAUUGAAAUACUGGAGCACAAGUUAGAGGUGGUGAUGGUCACAGGUGAAUUAUGUUAACUACUGGAACAUGAACUGAACUAUCUCUUUUAUUUGUAGGAAAUAAAGAAGAGCAAAUGAAA
Molecule: long non-coding RNA, 4088 nt
Organism: Acanthochromis polyacanthus (spiny chromis)
Lineage: Eukaryota; Metazoa; Chordata; Actinopteri; Pomacentridae
Exons: 2
Source: RefSeq, a predicted model, not a curated record